This 253-nucleotide ribosomal RNA is filed under the name uncultured bacterium. RNAcentral describes it as "partial 16S ribosomal RNA". It matches the Rfam family "Bacterial small subunit ribosomal RNA", at positions 524 to 776 of the family's 1533-position model. The record is from RNAcentral.
UACGAAGGUGGCAAGCGUUGUUCGGAUUUACUGGGCGUAAAGCGUAUGUAGGCGGUUUGACAAGUCAGGAGUGAAAUCCCAGGGCUUAACCCUGGAAUUGCUUUUGAAACUGUCUUACUUGAAUCCGGUAGAGGUUGGCGGAAUUCCCAGUGUAGAGGUGAAAUUCGCAGAUAUUGGGAGGAACACCAGUGGCGUAAGCGGCCAACUGGAACGGUAUUGACGCUGAGGUACGAAAGCGUGGGUAGCAAACAGG